Molecule: ribosomal RNA, 907 nt
Filed under: uncultured bacterium
Lineage: Bacteria
Description: bacterial SSU rRNA
Rfam family: Bacterial small subunit ribosomal RNA
Source: RNAcentral
AGAGUUUGAUCCUGGCUCAGGAUGAACGCUAGCGGCAGGCUUAAUACAUGCAAGUUGAACGGGAUUCGAGUAGCAAUACUUGAUGAGAGUGGCGCACGGGUGCGUAACACGUAUGCAACCUACCUUUAACUGGCGAAUAGCCCCGGGAAAUCGGGAUUAAUACGCCAUAAGAUCACGAAAGGGCAUCCUUUAGUAAUUAAAGAACUUCGGUUAGAGAUGGGCAUGCGGGACAUUAGCUAGUUGGUGAGGUAACGGCUCACCAAGGCAACGAUGUCUAGGGGUCCUGAGAGGGUUAUCCCCCACACUGGUACUGAGACACGGACCAGACUCCUACGGGAGGCAGCAGUAAGGAAUAUUGGUCAAUGGGCGCAAGCCUGAACCAGCCAUGCCGCGUGCAGGAAGACGGCCCUAUGGGUUGUAAACUGCUUUUGUCAGGGAAUAAAUGAUGGUACGUGUACUGUCUUGAAGGUACCUGAAGAAUAAGCAUCGGCUAACUCCGUGCCAGCAGCCGCGGUAAUACGGAGGAUGCAAGCGUUAUCCGGAUUCAUUGGGUUUAAAGGGUGCGCAGGCGGAUUGGUAAGUCAGGGGUGAAAUCCCACAGCUCAACUGUGGAACUGCCUUUGAUACUGUCAGUCUAGAGUAUAGUUGAAGUUGGCGGAAUGUGUCAUGUAGCGGUGAAAUGCUUAGAUAUGACACAGAACACCGAUCGCGAAGGCAGCUAGCUAAGCUAUAACUGACGCUCAUGCACGAAAGCGUGGGGAUCAAACAGGAUUAGAUACCCUGGUAGUCCACGCUGUAAACGAUGAUUACUCGAUGUUGGCGGUAUGCCCUUCAGUGGCGCAGCUAACGCAUUAAGUACCCCGCUGGGGAGUACGGCCGCAAGGUUAAAACUCAAAUGAAUUGACGG